AGCACAUUUGACAGGCAAAAUUCCAACUUUGAUUUUUUUGGCACUUAACCCAAAUGUUGAUUCCAUGCCUCAAUUGACCUUACACAGGGUGAAAAGUUUUAUAAUUGGUUUUAUACA
Long non-coding RNA from Maniola jurtina (meadow brown), 117 nucleotides. RefSeq lists it as uncharacterized. The record is from RefSeq and is a predicted model, not a curated record. The transcript is spliced from 3 exons. NCBI's taxonomy places the organism in Eukaryota, Metazoa, Arthropoda, Insecta, Lepidoptera, Nymphalidae.